RNAcentral lists this ribosomal RNA (506 nucleotides) under uncultured bacterium. Its description in RNAcentral is "SSU rRNA". It matches the Rfam family "Bacterial small subunit ribosomal RNA", at positions 26 to 518 of the family's 1533-position model. The record is from RNAcentral.
AGGACGAACGCUGGCGGCGCGCUUAACACAUGCAAGUCGAGCGAGAACCGGGACUUCGGUCCCGGGGACAGCGGCGAACGGGUGAGUAACACGUGGGUAAUCAACCCUCGGCACCGGGAUAGCCCGAGGAAACUCGGAUUAAUACCGGAUAGCCCCUCCGACUCUCGAGUCGGUCGGGAAAGGUAGCUUAGGCCUCUGGCCGGGGACGAGCCCGCGGCGGAUUAGCUUGUUGGUGGGGUAAUGGCCUACCAAGGCAACGAUCCGUAGCUGGUCUGAGAGGACGAUCAGCCACACUGGGACUGAGACACGGCCCAGACUCCUACGGGAGGCAGCAGUGGGGAAUCUUGCGCAAUGGGCGAAAGCCUGACGCAGCGACGCCGCGUGAGGGAAGAAGGCCUUCGGGUUGUAAACCUCUUUCAGGAGGGACGAAGCUACUCGGGUGAAUAGCCCAGAGGGUGACGGUACCGUCCAGAAGAAGCCCCGGCUAACUACGUGCCAGCAGCCGC